UUAAGCUUUACCAGUUUGAAAAUAGAGAUAUCUGUUUGAACAAAGAGGGAACAAAGGGUUCACUGCGGGGAGAAGCUUCCCUGCACCCAGCAAACAUGGAGCAAAGCUGAUAGGAACAUUUCAAAGAUGGCCAUGAAGACUUAUCUCAGUGAAGCCCCUCAGAAGUCCAGCAUGUUGUCUUUUCAAGCCUCAAUGAUUUUAUGAUUCUAAAAUGAACCUCUGAGAGGGCAAGGAGACCAGCUCCCCCGCAGCCCAGCACCUUCAAGAGUCUGCCCCAGCCAGAGCUUGUGCUUAUUCUGAGUUUGUUCCAAACAGCAGCUGAGGAGAGAAGCGGAGACACAUCUGACCAAAAAAUCAAGGAUGGAAAGUUCAGAGAAUGCAACGAAGACAGAGGUCCCUUGUAAAAUGAGAGCAGGAAAAACUGCUAACAGAAACAAGUCCAUCAUCAGUGUGGAGCCACCACUCCCCUUUCCAGUGGAGUCUACUUCAGCUCUGAAGCUGGGACUGCCAACGUUACCGUGGAAACCCCCAAAAAUAAAGACUUUCCCAGCCUUGUGAGAGCACACCUGCAAGAGCAAGAAUGACAGUUAGCCUUUUGCCUGUCAAAAGCAAAUCUCCUUCAUUCUUGAUGUCACCUGAGGACAUUUUUUACCCUCGAAAGCAGUUAAGAUGGUCGGAUUGACUUCAGACAAUCUGGCAAUAUGACUGGAGCUGCCUGUUGUACACAUGACAAGCUUUCAGAGAAGAAGCCUGGUGGUUAUGAGAGGAGAAUCCCACAGAACUGCACAGGUACUGCCAGCAGGAGUGGUCAUUCACACAGGACAGCUCACUGCCACUGCUAACAAAAUCCCCAGCCCAGUCACUUGUGAAUCACUUCUGGCUGAACUUAGCAGCUUUAAGUAUGAUCAAAGUCAAGAAUAUUUGCAGUCAGUAGGAUUUCUGUACAUCACAAGGGAAACAUUUUGCUAAUAAAUGCUGAUUCAAAUGUUGUACGUUCCCACUGCUUCAGUUCUUGCUCUUGGCUAAGCAGAUGAAUGACUAUUUAGUGUUGCUACAGAGCUGUCAGACAGCAGUUGUGUUUCAGCAUUAGUUGGGGGGCAUUCCUAUGCAUGCAUUAGUGCUCAAAAUGACCGUUAAGAAUUUUGUUGUAUGUGUUCACAGAUACUCUUUAAGGUGGAUUGAUGUUGCAGAUGGGAGUAAGAGUUGAAUGCUCCCAUGAAGGUGGGUGGGAGCCCCGUUGGAAAUCAGAUUAAACUGGACUAACCUUACCAGUGUUCUGAGUUAUUCAGUGGCAAAUCCCAUGGAAACUGCACAUAGAUGAAAUGCCUGGGAAUUAUGAUUUUCAGGGUCAAUUUUUUGGGUAAUGAAGUAAAGAAAUGAAAUUAAUUGUAGAGGAAAUUGUAAACUGGCAUAGAUUUCAGUUCUGUUAUCAUAAAAUUAUUCCUGAUCCUUUGGCUGGAUGCUCUGUGUGAGCUGCCAUUCCUCCUCCUAGUGUUAAAAUCACCUCUUUUGUUUGUGCAUGCUUUUUGGAAGUGAUGAGACUGAAACAGCAUUAUACCACUUCAACUCAAUAGGGAAUGAUUGCAACUGAAAAGCAUUUAUUUAUUUGGUGUGAAUCAUUCCGUAUUGCAUUUCAGUUCCAUUCUGAAGGGGAGCUUUGUUUGUCUUUUAAAGGCUUACUUAAACAUAAGAGGAAAGGAGAACCAGUCCCUGGCACAUUUAUUUUGCUAACACUGCUGACGCAUACCUCACUUCAUAGAGCUGACGUCUUACUAAAGGACAUCCAGGACAGUUUCAGCUAUUCCAGUGUUUAUUUUUACUACACCAAGUCUUUGCCGUUGGUUAUCAGGAUGUUCGUCAGUGAGAAAGAGAGAUAAUACUGAGAUGCUAGCAUUAAAGAGAAGGCUACAAAUAAAGAUGGUGGGGUUUGCUGUAAAUGUCAGUGUUUAUUGGUUCUACCUUGCUAGAUGAGCUAGAUGUUGAAUAGGUUGGUCUAAAAAACUAAGCUGACGUUCUAUGGAGAAAGUUGCCUCUUGAAGAUUGAUGUGUUAUGAAGAGGAUAAGAAUAUUAUGGCAAAAUCCAAGCUAGAGACAAGGAUACGCCCUAUUCCACUUAGUUUAUUCUAGU
Molecule: long non-coding RNA, 2128 nt
Organism: Centrocercus urophasianus (Greater sage-grouse)
Lineage: Eukaryota; Metazoa; Chordata; Aves; Galliformes; Phasianidae
Exons: 7
Source: RefSeq, a predicted model, not a curated record